Thamnophis sirtalis is the source of this 3002-nucleotide non-coding RNA. Lineage: Eukaryota; Metazoa; Chordata; Lepidosauria; Squamata; Natricidae. The record is from RefSeq and is a predicted model, not a curated record.
UUAGGGACAGAUUGUCAAGGGGAAAAAAUCUAUAUUGUGGUUGCAAAGAGUAAUAAAAUGACACAAUUACACAUAAUCAAAUUUUCAGGUAUCUCUUUUUUAUCAGAAAAGAAAAAAAGAGAAGAUGAAAAAAAAGAAAGAAAAGAAGAGAAAGAAAGAGAAAUCAAGUCCUGUACAGCUUUCUAAACGAGAUCGGAACCGAGCAGAACUUCUUGAUUUCUUGAACUCUACUUUUUAGUGAAAAAGCUGUUAAAUGAGGACCAAUAAGUGUGUCAGCUUAUUCAGUCAUCUUGCUCCUUUAAAGCACCAAAUACAAGCUCAGGGUGAAGCAUGAAAAAACAUCUUGAUGCAUGAGGAGUUGAAAUUGUCCCACUAUGACGAUAAUUGACAACUCCUUUAAAAGGGUAAAAUAAUUGGUGACAUUUUAUCAACAAAGAGCCAUAUUGAAGUUGAAAAGAACCUAAUCACACUAGGACAAAGGCAUAAUCAUUCAUUAAAAUGAAAGGAUGCGUUGGAAUUUCAGCCUACUGUGAAUAUCCAAAUUGCAUGCAGAAUGCAACUUCACCAUCCGUUGUCCUUGGUCAUUUUAUUGAUUAAAGCCAAAUAAUAGCAGAGAAGUUCUUAAAGAAGAAUCAGACCCGUGUAUAUAGAUAUUUUUAGUAUUGAGAAUAUUUGCAAACAGCAACAUACCUCUUUCUGCGUAGUGUACAUUCUCUAAAGCAUUGAGUAGAUUUUUUAAAAUCAUUUUCUUUUGUAAAGUAUUUUCUUUUUAAAGUUAGUAAAAAAAAACACUAUAAUUUCAGUUUAUUUAAUGAGGUGCUAGGCAUUUAAUUUUGAAACUGGCGUGGUACAACUAUUAAAUGAACAUUAUGAAAUUAGCUUACUGCCCACUGCUGCUUGGUUUUUUCCUUAUUUUGGAUAGGAUGAUCCUUGAUCAGUAUUGUGGCCUUCAGAGAGGCAUGUAUCAAAGUCCAUAUUAUGAAAAUCUCAGUGGGCUACCAAUUUCAGUUGAGUGUAAUGGUAUGGCUAACAGAGUCCUCAAAAGACUGGUUGUGGCAUAUAACCUCACGGUGUGUGAAGUUCAUUUUAUGAAAAAAAAUCCAAUAAAACAUACUGCUUCCUAUAUAAAUUGUUUUAGUGAAGUAUUAACAAGUGUGAAGAAAGCAUUAGGAUUAGAAAGAUACUGUUGAGAACUACAACUACCACAUAAGUUCAUGAUGGUGAACUUAUGGCACACGUGCAACAGGUGGCACACGGAGCCCUCUCUGUAGGCAUGUGAGCCAUCGCCCAGCUCAGCUCCACUGUGCAUGUGCGAGCACCUCCCACCGGCCAGCUGAGUUUUGGGUCUCUGCUGUACAUGCUGCACGGGAGUGGGAGGAGCCAGGGGGUGCGGCAUGCUCCCCUGCACCCCCUUUUUGGUUUCAGGAGGCUUCAGGGAGGCCUGCCAGGCCCAAAACGGGUUGCGGGGAGGGGGGUGAGGCACCAGGGCGGAGUGCAUUGCAUUAUGGGUGUGGGUUUUUCUUUCCCCAAAGCCCUUAAUAAGAAAAAUGUCUAAUGACUUAACAGUUUGUCUUCAUUUUUGCAUUUUUUAAAUAUUACACCUUAGGUGACUUGUUUACCACAAGAACAUUUAAAACAGUAAACACCUUUACAAUUUAAAGCAAUUUAUUGAAAUAAUGUUAAAUAAGUAUUGUUUAAUUUAUCAAUAAUUAAAACAUAGUUAUUAUUCACUCUCCAAAUGGUCAUUGAAAGAGCUUUGUGGAGGUUUUAAAUAUAAUCAAGAUUGGGGACAUCUAGAUCUCAGGGUGGGGGAGAGAUAAUUCCACAGAUGGAAUAGUUACCAUAAACAUCUGCUUCUAAGUUCCUAUCCUCUAACUUUUUAAAGAGGGGGAUUCACAGCAUUUUUCUUAGAUUGCUUGAAUAGCAGAAGCAGAUUCUAUUUAUAGAGAUAGUUCAUUACACAACCUAAACCCAAACUACGCAUUGCUUUUUAGAUCAUUAGCAACUUCUUUAAUUUGAAUCAAGAGCAGUGCUUGUAAUAUUGGUGUUACAUUGUUGAAGGAGCUCUCACCUGAUUACUUAUUCCAAACAGUCUUUUGAUAGUGUUCAAAGUCAUGACUAAGAAGAGUGCAUUGUAGAAAUGCAGUAGUAAAGUACGGGGGUGAGCAAUUGGGUAAAGACCCAUCUUUUUUAUCCGUGUCACCCCAAAUCAAUGGAUGACUCUCUCCCCUGAAUGGUUUAAUAUAGAUAAUAAGAUAGGGAAAGGGGGGAGGAGAACUCUGAGCCCCAUAAAUCAGUGGCCAAGAGCUAAAUCACUUCCAAUUUCUAAUGCAGAAAAGUGCUUCCAACUCCCUCACAUGUAUGCCAGCCUGACCUCUUGAUUGCUGGUGUCAGAUGUUGCUGAGGGAUAUAAUAGAACCAGAAGAUAACACUGACCAAAUCCUGAUAGAGGUAAUUGAAAAACCAAUAUAGUUUCUUUCCCAUAACUGUUCUGAACUCUAAUUGAAAACAAGAGAAUGUAACUUUUCCAAGGCCCAUUGGAACUGCAGCCGCACAAUCUUCUCUAACACCAUCUCUAAAGUUGAAGGAGGAUGUUGAUUGCUUCAAGUCCUGCCAUUUACUCAUUUGUCUGCCUUAAGGAGCCAACGAAGGGCAUAGGUUAAGCCCAGAUGUAGAGAGCAUAUUCUGUUAAUCACGCCACUUUCUUAACACUCCACAAGAUCAGAAUUCCACGUAGACUUGCAGGAAGUUGUCCAAUUAAUUUCAUUUGAUUCUACUAAGCUGGGAAUAAGAUCUGAGCAAAUACAAAUUGAUCUGUGAAAUGUUUUGCAAACGUAACACAGCAAUAUUGUCAGGCCUGCAGCCAUGUUCCUUUUGGAUCUUUGGCCUGCCACACUUUCUAUGAUUCUACUCUGGUGUUUCUAUGGUGGGGAAUUCAGAGGGGGGAUAGUACAGAGUAAAAUGCUAUGUAGCCAGAAUAAAAUUCCUUUCUAGAAUGCCAA